Molecule: long non-coding RNA, 1271 nt
Organism: Pogoniulus pusillus (Red-fronted tinkerbird)
Lineage: Eukaryota; Metazoa; Chordata; Aves; Piciformes; Lybiidae
Exons: 3
Source: RefSeq, a predicted model, not a curated record
GGUCAUGCUGAAGUAGAGAGGAUUCACUUGAGCCCAUAUCCUUGAGGAACUGCAAACUGCAUGCCUUGGCACAUUGAGAUCAAGUCCAUCUGGGGAGCACCAGUGCAGAGAAGAAAUAAAAUGGGUGACAGUCUCCAACAUAAAUAACUUGCCCAGUAACUAAUUAGUGCCUGAGCCCCUGACUGCUGGGUUUCCACAGCCUAAUCUUGUCCUUUGAGCCCUUCAAAGGCCUGCAACUCAGUGUCAUGUUCUGCUUGGGAAGGGUACAGCUCCAAGACUUGCCUGUCCUGAGCUCUGCUCAGCAUUGGCAUCAGUGGCACUGACUGCUCAGAUGCUCUGUGGAAAACAAGCAUGGAGCAACCAUUCAGAAAGCAGUGUGCCUCUUUCUGAAGAGGAAACAAAGGGAGCAUCCUGCACUGGUUCACUGCCCCUGGCAGCAUGCUGGGAGCUUUAGCAGAGCCAGGCGCUGAUCACUGGGAGAGUGUUUUCCUUGAGCUAACCAGGGAAGGCCAGGCACCUCGUCCUGCCCACAAAGGCAGGGAUGGCUCAGGGAGCAGGAGGUGCACACACUCUCCCGCCACAUCCCAGUGCAUAACAGAGCUCCAGUGAAAAGGAAGAGACACAUGGAUGCCAUCAGCAGGAAAAAUGUUAUUGUGGCUGCAGCAUCUUGGAGGGAAAUUGAGCAUGGCACGUCGGUGCAUCACCCUCUUCUCAUCACCUCCCGGAGAGGCCACGCCGCUUGCACGCAUCCCUGCAACAUCUGGCGAGAGGGCAACGAGGGGCAGGAUGCUGGGAGGUUCGCUGGGGCAAAAACGUGCCUGUUUUGCCUGGUGUGCCCCAGAGCACGGCCUCAGAUGCCCGUGUGCCUCAGUGCCACCCAUGGCACCGCAUCGGACUGUGAGAGCUGCCAGCAGCCCAUGCCUCGCUCUGGAAAGCUGUAGCCUGUACGUGAAAUUCCCAAGGACGAGGAGAAGCUGGCAGACAACAAGGAGGAUUAGGUGGUUCCCCAAGGAACACAAGGAACGCUGCAAGAUCCUAUCAUUGCCCAUUUCCGUGGGGUGAUUAGGCAGCGUUUGAUGCUGGGAGGAUGCUUUCUGUUAGGCUACUUUGCGAACGCUAGCCCAGCGACUAACAGCCUGUGAUGGGAAGUCAUGUUUCCCUGGAUGUGCUAAAGCCAGACUCCUUGAGAAUGCAGGCUCCUUGCCCCAAAAUCCAGCCUGCCGUGCCCGGCACCCUGCCCCAGGGAAGCUCUCUCUGCUCUCCUUCUCAAA